UGACCUCGGAUCAGGUAGGAAU
This 22-nucleotide ribosomal RNA is filed under the name Stachybotrys chartarum. Its description in RNAcentral is "partial 28S ribosomal RNA". The record is from RNAcentral. RNAcentral also lists the same sequence under 2 other names. Lineage: Eukaryota; Fungi; Ascomycota; Sordariomycetes; Hypocreales; Stachybotryaceae.